UGCAUAUUCAAAAAGCGGAGGAAAAGAAACCAACAGGSAUUGCCUCAGUAACGGCGAGUGAAGCGGCAACAGCUCAAAUUUGAAAUCUGGCCUCUUGGGGUCCGAGUUGUAAUUUGUAGAGGAUGUUUCGGGUACCGCCUCGGUUUAAAUUUCUUGGAACAGAAUGUCAAAGAGGGUGAGAAUCCCGUCUUGGACCGGCGGUAGGGCCUAUGUGAAACUCCUUCGACGAGUCGAGUUGUUUGGGAAUGCAGCUCAAAAUGGGUGGUAAAUUUCAUCUAAAGCUAAAUAUUGGCCAGAGACCGAUAGCGCACAAGUAGAGUGAUCGAAAGAUGAAAAGCACUUUGAAAAGAGAGUUAAACAGUAUGUGAAAUUGUUGAAAGGGAAGCGCUUGCAACCAGACUUGAGCGCGGCGGUUCCCCCUUGCUUCUGCUUGGGUUACUCCGCCGUGUCCAGGCCAACAUCGGUUCUGGGGGUCGGUCAAAGGCUCUGGGAAUGUAUCUACCCACGGGUAGACUUAUAGACCAGGGUGUCAUGCGACCUCCCGGGACCGAGGAACGCGCUUCGGCUCGGAUGUUGGCGUAAUGGUUGUCAGCGACCCGUCUUGACCACACGGACC
RNAcentral lists this ribosomal RNA (616 nucleotides) under Fonsecaea nubica. RNAcentral's name for it is "partial large subunit ribosomal RNA". The record is from RNAcentral. Lineage: Eukaryota; Fungi; Ascomycota; Eurotiomycetes; Chaetothyriales; Herpotrichiellaceae.